RNAcentral lists this long non-coding RNA (535 nucleotides) under Spirodela polyrhiza (greater duckweed). Its description in RNAcentral is "long non-coding RNA (SPOL_LNC002334)". Lineage: Eukaryota; Viridiplantae; Streptophyta; Magnoliopsida; Alismatales; Araceae. The record is from RNAcentral.
CUCUCGCUCUAUUUUCUGGGUUUUCCUGCGAAAUGCAUCAGAUUAUUUCUUGGAUUACAAAAAAGUACCAUCAUUUGCUCUUACUAGCAAGCCAUCAGCGCAGUCACACGUGCGUCUCCUCUUGAGCCACACGUGUGUACUUCUCUGAUCCCCCCCCCCCCCCCUCUCCGGAGAGCAUUACAUCCCCCCACAUGGACAGGAAGGAAUCGACUCUCUUUGAAGUGGUAGAAAGUCAAUGGAGAAGAGCCUGGCGGCACAGGGUUCGGAAUUUUAGGAUAAGAUCCCCACAAAAGAAUGAAGGCAUCUUCCAUCGAACAGACGGUGCCGGUCAACGCCGUCACAGAGAGAGAGAGAGAGAGAGAGAGAGAGAGAGCCUUUUCAGCUGGCUACUUCUGGAGAACAAAGGUCUUGUUGAGGAUCAUGUCGUCGGUGGUGAAGUCAGCUGCCUUCCGAAAGGUUCCCCGCCCGAAGUCGAGGUUGUAGGAGUCCGUCAAGCCCUCCACAAGGUCAAACUCCGGGGCCCACCCCAGCUCCC